CAGAGAGGAUCCUUGAGCUCAUUCUGUUGUUUGAAGCAGGAAAUGGAACUCUGAUCUUUGGCGGAGUAGCUGCGGUGGCUCCACAUCAGAUACUCUUAUUUCAUUCAAUGAUUGAUAUAUUUCUUCCAUUGUGAAAGUUCUUCAGAGAGUUCCUCAUUUGUUGAUGCUGCCAAAGCUUGUUGGCGUAGAACCUGAUUCUCUGAUUCAAGGUUGGACAAAUUUAAUUCUAAUCUGUGAAUUAUUAGUGAGAGUUAGUCUUGCUGAUUAUCUUGAGGAUGCAUGCGUGAAAUAUUUUUUGUUGGCUACCUUUCCAUAGUCUCUUGAAGUAAGGUGGUUUUUAACUCAGCUUCUUCUGCUUCCCUAAGCCUUGCUUUACUUUCUUCUUCUACUUCAGAGUAAUGCUUUUCAAAUUCUAUAAUUUUUUUUUUUAGCUCGCUUAGCUCAGCCUACACAUUCAAGAUUAUAUAUUGUUAGUCCAGGCACCUCCUUAAUUACUGGUGGAGCUUGUUCAAUGGCUUGUUUUGCUGCUUCCUUCUCCCAGAUGACUGCAGCACGGGCUUCAUCCAGCUGCUCUUGCAUUUCUUUUAAAGCAUUUUGUAACUUGAUGAUUUCUUGGCCUUUUGCUUCUUCAAUAUCGAUCUACAAGGGAAAUUUUUCCCAUGGCAUUAGUGCACCAACUCAAAAACAAAGAAAUAAUAAAUUGCUGACUGAUCUAAAGUUAAUUACAAGAUCAACUUCAGCUGUUUGGAUGGAAUAGUUUAGUUCAAGAUCAACAUACCCUCAAGUGCUUUUCGAAUUCUAGUCGCCAUAUACCGAGACUAGGCACACAAUGUAGAGCUUCAAGUUAUAUUUUAUAGAGAAGCUCACCAUCCUAAGCUUUCGGAGCUCUUUCCUUGCCACUUUUGCUCUCCAAAGACUUUGAAGAGUAAUCGUUGCUUUUUUCUGCUGUUUGUAAGCAGAAAGAGCUUGAAAUCUUCGCCAUUCAGUCUGUUAGAACAGAGAUUGAUAAAAUUCUAAAUCAUGACAUUCUUGAUUGAGAAUUAAUCUUAUAAUUUGCAAGACUUAUAUAGUUCCUUCUCUUGAGAAUGUGAUAAUAAUUUGAUUUCCGUAUGACAAACGAUGUUUUAUGUAUCCUUUAAAUACUCAGCAUUCACACGAUCCUAUUGCCAUUACUUUUUAAAUCAAUAGGUUUUGCUUCAUUCAUUUUGGUAAUUCGUUACCUUUCAUUAUUCCCAACCUUUUGAAAAAACAAAAAAUUAAGUUUCAGAUUGGUAUAUUUAUCAUUUCAACUGAAUAUCCUAAAGAAAUAUACCAACCAAAGAAUUUAUAACCUGGAUUAUGGUUGUGGCCUUAGUUCUUCUUUUGUGUUUGUAUAUAUUCCGGGCUGCCAUUGCUCGUAACCCAGUUUGAAUGACUAUUGCUGAGGCCUGUAAGUUUGUGUAGGAUCUCCUGGCUGUGUGAGCACGUACAUGUUUCUGGAUGUGCUUUGUGGCUGCUUCCCUUCUCAUUUCUUCAUACAACCUUCUUGCAAGUUGUGCUGUAUAGGGAUAAGGAAGAAGCAAUCAAGACAAAAGAGAUAGUUUCCAAUCAUUUACGGUGGCAUUGAAGUCAUGUUUCCACUUAGAACUAAGAUCACACUGAAGCCAGUUGAUGUGAUACUUGUUACUAACUUUGAUCUGCUGAACUAAGUGCACAACAUUCAUUAGUUCAUUUAAGAUAGGUUGGCUGAUUUGGUGCAUUAAAUGGGAGUUUGUUUUGGUUCUUUGUUAGGCCAGAUUGCUUAUAAUAUCCAGUGCCAUCUUCAACAGGUACAUCUGAUUUAUAUUUUACAGUAUAGAAUUAUCCAGGGAGAGGGGAUAACCUCUCCAAUGCUUUUGCAUAGAAAUUGUAGCUCUCCUUAGUGCAAUAAAUUCUUUCCUAGUCAGAUGUGUCCGGAUUGUCCUCUGAAUUUGUUUAGCAGCACUGGCCAAAACUUCAGUCCUCCGUGCAUCUAACUCAGCCAUCUGACCAGCCCUGAGAAACACCUUCGCUUUCCCAAUCUGAAAUGUCAUUAUGGAGGAAAGUUGCCAGUUUUUUCCUUGAAUUAUAUUGAUAGGGAUGUAAUUUUAUUACAAUAUCGUAUUGAUAAUAUUAUGUUUAGUGUACCUGAUAGCCUUUCAUGCCCAUCUUCUCACAUAUUGCAACACAUGCUGUUUUUUCAUCAGAUCUGUCCAGAAAGACAAGUAAUUUGUUAUUCUCUUUGCUGGAAUUGAAAACAAAGAAGAUAGAUUUAUAUUGAUACCAUAUGUUCAAGAAUUAAGGCAAUGUUGCAUUCAGGAAGUGGAUACAGAUAAGGUAGCUAAACAUAAAUAAAUAAAUGGCCAAUGCUCAUUCCACCAUUGACAUAGGUUAUAUUGUCCAAUAAAUAGUUGAAAGGAAGAAGAUUCAUAAGUUUCUAGAAGUCAUACCCAUCUACAAUUUCUGGUGCCAGCAUUCCAAAACGGUCAAUGAACUCACCAAACGUUCUUUUUGUAGGAUACCCGGCACAACUUAUCCUAAUUGCCUCCAGUACACCCUGGCAUGAAGAAAUGCAGUGAGUUGGAAAAGACUACUUAAUUAGUUUGAAAGUGCUGUGUAGUCUUUGGUGGUGGAAAAACUUAACUUACCCCACAUCUUAACUGGUUUAGGACAUUGAAGUUUUCAAAGAUUCCAGGCUUCAGAAUGGCAUUUGGCUUUACACAUCUGAUGGAAUACUCUGGGAACAUGGCUACCUUGAAACGGGUACCAAUGGAAGAAAACUUGGAUUGCUUUGAUGUCUCCUCUGGUAAUGGAGGGAAAAGGUUAGCAACAAAACUGCAAUUGGAAGCAUUUAAUAGAGCCUGAUGUUCAGCUACAACAUAGUCCUUGUUUUUAUCAAGGAAUUGAUCAGCUUGGUUCAUGUGAUGACAUCAUUGAAUGCAAGUGUUUGUUUGAAUAUUGUGUAUAAUUUGCUUACCAGUCGAAUAGCCUGGAGUAAACAGUCUUGGCUAGGGCAUCUCGACUAAGUGCUGCAGAAUCUGGGUCCAGUGGUUUUGUGAUGUUACCAUCAGGAGUCACUAUGACACGCUUGCAAAGUGAGUCCUCUAGUGCCUUCUCAUUGCACCUGAAUGAAUCGACAUUCAGAGACAACCGACAGGCAUCUUAGAAAUUAUACCAGGCCCAAACAAGAACAGAGAAAUAAAUUCUUACAUGAGGAGCUCGGCUGCUGUUUGAAGAUGGUAUUGCGAUUUUUCAUCUUUAAGUCUGGAGGAAUCAACUUCCUUUCCUUUAGUGAAAUCAAUGUUUCCCAAAUGGAGGAUCGCAGCUACAACUCGAAAUAUUGCAUCCUGUAAAGGUAAACAUCCAUCUAUUAGUUGGAAACACAGGAAACUGUGAUUGAUUGAUUUUCGUUUAAGCUGAUGUCAAUGUCCUGCACCUGCUCUUCUUGACUUAUGCCCACAAUAUCCAUUGCAUUUCUGGUCUCCAAAUACUCUCUUGCAUCAUCUACAUUAGCUACUUCAUAGCAGUUUGACUGGUUUAGAUAACGAAAUGUUCUUGGGUCCCCUAACUUGAAUUUCUUGACAUCCUGAGAAAGGGACAUUUGUUAGCUAAUGUAGCUACAGUGUGUGGCUUGGUAGCUGUGAUAGACAAUGUAGUCACCUCUGGUGGUGCUGCGCAGAGCAUGUAAAAGCAAUGGUAGUUUCUUUCUGGGUCUGAGACCUGACAAACCCGUGAUCUUUCAAGAAGAUAAGUUCGUACUGCAGCUCCAGAAAUCUUCCCUUGCUUAUCAAAUUGAAUUUCAACAAAUUUUCCAAAACGGCUGAGAAAACCAAUCAAUACUUUUUGGCAUUCCCAAAUGCUUCCAAUACAGGAUUUGACUGUAGAAAGAAAAAAAAAGGUCUUCUUUUCAAUCAUUUCAACAUUCUGAUGUACAAAUUUGGCAACAGUUGUACUUACUUCCAAAACUUGUUGUUCUACUGUUCUUCCUUCAGUACUAGAUCUUCCCCCCAUGAAUGCAAGGUGUCUGCAACAGCAAACAGAUGUGGACUCAGCUCUCCAAAAGCAGCUCCUUUAUAUUGCUCCAUCAUAUGGAUGUCAUACAAGUGUGGCAGUCUCCGGAAAGGAUUCACUGCUAUUAGAAUGUUUCCUGUAUAAGUCUGUUCAUAUCAAGAGAAAAUCGACAAGCAAGAUUGUGUAGCACUCCUGGUUCAUGGAGGUAAGCUAACUUGGUCAUGUCAUCAACUCCUGCUGGUGGUGCUUCUGUGUCUUUUGGAUAUAUACUUGCAAUAUCAGCAACUAUCUGGAAUAGAGAUGAAAAAAUGCACUUUCAGUUCAUUUGUAUAAAAUGAAGCUUCUGAGAGAUGUCAAUAAAUAAGACUGUUCCUCACUAGGCCUUUCGUGGGGGGGCAUCUUAAAACUAGAAACAGUAAGAAAUCUUAUUGCCAUUUAAUGAAAUUUGGUAAUCAUAAAGGUGUUUUCCAAUUAAAAAAACCUUGUAGGAUCCAAGAAAAAAAAUUGUAUGAUGAAGAUGAAGGUGUGUUUCCGAUAUAAUGGGAGGCAACAGUAGCUUACAGUUUUCCCAUUUGAAGUAAUUAGGGUGGCCUCUCUGCCGUUGAUUUCUUUUACUUCACUGUCAAUCCAUGCAACCUCAGGAUCUUCAGCCCAAGCAUGCGAUCCAACUAUGAUGUUCACAGGGCUUCCCUGGAGAAAAAAAAAAAAAACACACACACACACACACAAUAAAGACAUUUUUAGUGCUUACCCUAUUCCUCGGAAAUGAAGAGUGCCAAUGAACCAAAAAAUGGGAGACAUAAACCAAUCUGCAAAACUUUACCAUAGCUGAAAGUUAGAUGAACAUCAAAGUUCUGAAGCAGCAACAGAUGAUGAAGUUGUGUUAUAGGAAAGGUGCGAAAGUGUUGUUGCAAUUGCAAAUGGAGGAGGUGGAUUGAAAGCAGAAAGAAAAUGUUGAAAAAAGAAAUCAAAAACAGGGGAAAUACAGGUGGUGAUUAACUCAAAAGCAAAAGGCAGUGGCAAUCGCUCAUCUCCCGCCCCCACCAAUUUAUGGAAACUUUAUGCUCAAUACACAUAGAAUGUUGACUUGGAUCCAGUUGAAACCCCCCAACUAAAGGGCUCCAACUGACCCUCACUGCCAGGUAUCAGGAAUACUUUAUCGUGAUGCAGAUCAUAGUAGCUCAGUUUCUGAAUUAAAAAGCUUCAUGCUUUCAGUUCUAAAUUUAAAAAGUUUGCUUGUGUUUCAGUGGAGGAUUUUUUAAUUAGAGACAAAUAGUUGUCAAUAGAUACGGAUGAUUACAUGUAUGGCAUGGAUGGAACUCACGUUUUAUCAAAGGACAUAUUACUUGAUAAAUAUUAUGACAUACAAAUCCUAUAUUUACAAAGUAUAGGUGAGAUGAUGAAUUUUUAUGUA
Molecule: long non-coding RNA, 5422 nt
Organism: Mangifera indica (mango)
Lineage: Eukaryota; Viridiplantae; Streptophyta; Magnoliopsida; Sapindales; Anacardiaceae
Exons: 9
Source: RefSeq, a predicted model, not a curated record